RNAcentral lists this ribosomal RNA (406 nucleotides) under uncultured bacterium. RNAcentral's name for it is "partial 16S ribosomal RNA". It matches the Rfam family "Bacterial small subunit ribosomal RNA", at positions 30 to 526 of the family's 1533-position model. The record is from RNAcentral.
AUUGAACGCUGGCGGCAGGCCUAACACAUGCAAGUCGAACGAGUGGCGGACGGGUGAGUAAUGUCUGGGAAACUGCCUGAUGGAGGGGGAUAACUACUGGAAACGGUAGCUAAUACCGCAUACCCUCGGAUGUGCCCAGAGGGGAUUAGCUAGUAGGGGGGGUAAAGGCUCACCUAGGCGACGAUCCCUAGCUGGUCUGAGAGGAUGACCAGCCCAACUGGAACUGAGACACGGCCCAGACUCCUACGGGAGGCAGCAGUGGGGAAUAUUGCACAAUGGGCGCAAGCCUGAUGCAGCCAUGCCGCGUGUAUGAAGAGGGCUUUCGGGUUGUAAAGUACUUUCAGCGGGGAGGCGUUACCCGCAGAAGAAGCACCGGCUAACUCCGUGCCAGCAGCCGCGGUAAUUC